Scophthalmus maximus (turbot) is the source of this 430-nucleotide long non-coding RNA. RefSeq lists it as uncharacterized. The record is from RefSeq and is a predicted model, not a curated record. Lineage: Eukaryota; Metazoa; Chordata; Actinopteri; Pleuronectiformes; Scophthalmidae. The transcript is spliced from 2 exons.
GACAAAAAAGAACUGGCUCAGAUCAUUUCCUCUUUCUUUCGCUCUCUGUGUGUGACAGGUCAACACGCCGACCCACCAAGCUGUGGCGACAACCAAUGAGCUGGAUAUGAUUUAUAACGGAAUCCUCUAUGACUUCUGGCUCAAGUUCUCCUCCCACCUCGAACACCUCACCACUCCAGGCCUUGAAUCUCACAGACGCCUGGGCAACCGGCUGAUCCUCAGCUGACCCCCAAACGGAGGUGUUCAGGCAGUGGAUGAUGACGUGCUGCACGGCCUCUGAACUCAGCAGGUGCAGGAAGUUCAUCUGGACACGACCGACGCUGAUUAUUGGCUGCUCAAAACAGACGGGAAAGACGCUGGUCAACAAGUUUGUUGUAUGCUCAUGUGAAAUAUUUGCCGGUCUCAAAGUUUUUACAAUAUUGUCGCUUUU